UCUUGAAACGUCUUCUGCAGUAACAGCAGUAACAGCAACAGACUGCUAUGGACACCAGAAUGAUUCCAGCUAUUACCGCUAUGGUGAUAAUUAAAGCCUCAAAGUUUAUCCAGCAAACUCCCCAUCGAGCAUUUGAGAGUGAACAUAACGAAGAUGGUGGAAGAAUGCUUCUUACAGGAUAAUCAAUACAAGUGUUGUUGGUGAAACACCAAAGGCACGAAACAUUUCUUAAACAUUCUUCACAGGACCUCUGGGAAAACUCUGAACAUGCCUGCGCCGGUGCCGGCGGAGUCGCGGUGGCGAGGAACGCCUCGGUCAUCCCGGCGCGGCUCCAGAGCAGCACCAGGCCCAACAGCCGCAGCGUCCGCACCCACCGCGCGCCCAUCGCCCCGCGCAGGCCCAGCUGGUGCGGAGGGCGGGUACUGCGCGUGCUCCGUGCGGGCCGUGCUGCAGACUGGGGGCGCCCCACAGCUGUGCCGUUGGGUUCUAGGGGAGCUUUGUUAGCUUCCCUAUCACCUCGCUCAGGAAAGGGCGGUUCGAUAUUGGGCAGUAGGUAGGCAGGGUACAAGUGCAGGUUCCUUAGUGCUGAAUGACUGCUUCACAUAGGAAACGAAUGGUCACAGAAGUACAGAAUGGCAGGGUUUGGAAGUGACCUCGAGAUCAUCGAGUCCAACCGCCUGAUACAAGCAGGUUACUACAGUAGGACCCCCAGGAAGGCAUCCAGUCAUGUCCUGAAUAUCUCCAGAGAGGGAGACUCCGCCACCUCUCUCUGUUCCAGUGCUCUGUUACCCUCACAGGUGGAACUUCCUAUUGUUCCAGUUUGUGCCCAUUAGCUCUUGUUCUGUCACCGGGCACCACUGAAAAUAGCCCGACCCCACCCAUUUGACUCGCACCCUUUAGAUGUUUAUAUGCAUUGAUAAGAUUCUCUAUUAAGCCUUCUCCAGGCUGAACAGCCCCAGGUCUCUCAGCCUUUCCUCAUACAGGAGAUGCUUCAGGCCCUUAAUCGUCU
This 1009-nucleotide long non-coding RNA is filed under the name Gallus gallus (chicken). The record is from RNAcentral. Lineage: Eukaryota; Metazoa; Chordata; Aves; Galliformes; Phasianidae.